GGGGGUAUAGCUCAGUAGGUAGAGCACUGCCUUUGCACGGCAGGGGCGUGCGGUUCGAGUCCGCAUACCUCCA
Molecule: transfer RNA, 73 nt
Filed under: Kapaibacterium sp. (SeqCode)
Lineage: Bacteria; Pseudomonadati; Bacteroidota; Eximiradiia; Eximiradiales; Kapaibacteriaceae (SeqCode)
Also listed under: 4 other names
Description: tRNA-Ala
Rfam family: tRNA
About the family: Transfer RNA (tRNA) molecules are approximately 80 nucleotides in length.
Source: RNAcentral